GACGAACGCUGGCGGCGUGCUUAACACAUGCAAGUCGAACGGAAAGGCCCUGCUUUUGUGGGGUGCUCGAGUGGCGAACGGGUGAGUAACACGUGAGUAACCUGCCCUUGACUUUGGGAUAACUUCAGGAAACUGGGGCUAAUACCGGAUAGGAGCUCCUGCUGCAUGGUGGGGGUUGGAAAGUUUCGGCGGUUGGGGAUGGACUCGCGGCUUAUCAGCUUGUUGGUGGGGUAGUGGCUUACCAAGGCUUUGACGGGUAGCCGGCCUGAGAGGGUGACCGGCCACAUUGGGACUGAGAUACGGCCCAGACGCCUACGGGAGGCAGCAGGGGGGAAUAUUGCACAAUGGGCGGAAGCCUGACGCAGCAACGCCGCGUGCGGGAUGACGGCCUUCGGGUUGUAAACCGCUUUCGCCUGCGACGAAGCGUGAGUGACGGUAAUGGGUAAAGAAGCACCGGCUAACUACGUG
Molecule: ribosomal RNA, 468 nt
Filed under: uncultured bacterium
Lineage: Bacteria
Description: partial 16S ribosomal RNA
Rfam family: Bacterial small subunit ribosomal RNA
Source: RNAcentral